UACGUAGGGGGCAAGCGUUGUCCGGAUUUAUUGGGCGUAAAGAGCGUGUAGGCGGUUUGGUAGGUCCGCUGUGAAAACUCGAGCUCAACCUCGAGACGCCGGUGGAAACCAUCAGACUAGAGUCCGGAAGAGGAGAGUGGAAUUCCCGGUGUAGCGGUGAAAUGCGCAGAUAUCGGGAAGAACACCCGUGGCGAAGGCGGCACUCUGGGACGGUACUGACGCAUGAGACGGCGAAAAGCGUGGGGAGCGAACAGG
Molecule: ribosomal RNA, 255 nt
Filed under: uncultured bacterium
Lineage: Bacteria
Description: partial 16S ribosomal RNA
Rfam family: Bacterial small subunit ribosomal RNA
Source: RNAcentral